UACGUAGGUGGCAAGCGUUAUCCGGAUUUACUGGGUGUAGAGGGCGAGUAGGCGGGAUUGCAAGUCAGAUGUGAAAACUAUGGGCUCAACCGAUAGAGUGCAUUUGAAACUGCAGUUCUUGAGUGAUGGAGAGGCAGGCGGAAUUCCCGGUGUAGCGGUGGAAUGCGUAGAUAUCGGGAGGAACACCAGUGGCGAAGGCGGCCUGCUGGACAUUAACUGACGCUGAGGCGCGAAAGCGUGGGGAGCAAACAGG
Molecule: ribosomal RNA, 253 nt
Filed under: uncultured bacterium
Lineage: Bacteria
Description: partial 16S ribosomal RNA
Rfam family: Bacterial small subunit ribosomal RNA
Source: RNAcentral